Molecule: ribosomal RNA, 949 nt
Filed under: Escherichia coli
Lineage: Bacteria; Pseudomonadati; Pseudomonadota; Gammaproteobacteria; Enterobacterales; Enterobacteriaceae
Description: partial 23S ribosomal RNA
Rfam family: Bacterial large subunit ribosomal RNA
Source: RNAcentral
CUGUGAGCUCGAUGAGUAGGGCGGGACACGUGGUAUCCUGUCUGAAUAUGGGGGGACCAUCCUCCAAGGCUAAAUACUCCUGACUGACCGAUAGUGAACCAGUACCGUGAGGGAAAGGCGAAAAGAACCCCGGCGAGGGGAGUGAAAAAGAACCUGAAACCGUGUACGUACAAGCAGUGGGAGCACGCUUCGGCGUGUGACUGCGUACCUUUUGUAUAAUGGGUCAGCGACUUAUAUUCUGUAGCAAGGUUAACCGAAUAGGGGAGCCGAAGGGAAACCGAGUCUUAACUGGGCGUUAAGUUGCAGGGUAUAGACCCGAAACCCGGUGAUCUAGCCAUGGGCAGGUUGAAGGUUGGGUAACACUAACUGGAGGACCGAACCGACUAAUGUUGAAAAAUUAGCGGAUGACUUGUGGCUGGGGGUGAAAGGCCAAUCAAACCGGGAGAUAGCUGGUUCUCCCCGAAAGCUAUUUAGGUAGCGCCUCGUGAAUUCAUCUCCGGGGGUAGAGCACUGUUUCGGCAAGGGGGUCAUCCCGACUUACCAACCCGAUGCAAACUGCGAAUACCGGAGAAUGUUAUCACGGGAGACACACGGCGGGUGCUAACGUCCGUCGUGAAGAGGGAAACAACCCAGACCGCCAGCUAAGGUCCCAAAGUCAUGGUUAAGUGGGAAACGAUGUGGGAAGGCCCAGACAGCCAGGAUGUUGGCUUAGAAGCAGCCAUCAUUUAAAGAAAGCGUAAUAGCUCACUGGUCGAGUCGGCCUGCGCGGAAGAUGUAACGGGGCUAAACCAUGCACCGAAGCUGCGGCAGCGACACUAUGUGUUGUUGGGUAGGGGAGCGUUCUGUAAGCCUGUGAAGGUGUGCUGUGAGGCAUGCUGGAGGUAUCAGAAGUGCGAAUGCUGACAUAAGUAACGAUAAAGCGGGUGAAAAGCCCGCUCGCCGGAAGACC